AUUGAACGCUGGCGGCAUGCCUUACACAUGCAAGUCGAACGGCAGCACGGGAGCAAUCCUGGUGGCGAGUGGCGAACGGGUGAGUAAUAUAUCGGAACGUGCCCAGUCGUGGGGAUAACGUAGCGAAAGCUACGCUAAUACCGCAUACGAUCUAUGGAUGAAAGCGGGGGAUCGCAAGACCUCGCGCGAUUGGAGCGGCCGAUAUCAGAUUAGGUAGUUGGUGAGGUAAAGGCUCACCAAGCCGACGAUCUGUAGCUGGUCUGAGAGGACGACCAGCCACACUGGGACUGAGACACGGCCCAGACUCCUACGGGAGGCAGCAGUGGGGAAUUUUGGACAAUGGGCGCAAGCCUGAUCCAGCAAUGCCGCGUGCAGGAUGAAGGCCUUCGGUUGUAAACGUGCUUUGUUACGGAACGAAACAGUGAGCCUAAUACA
RNAcentral lists this ribosomal RNA (435 nucleotides) under uncultured bacterium. RNAcentral describes it as "bacterial SSU rRNA". It matches the Rfam family "Bacterial small subunit ribosomal RNA", at positions 30 to 466 of the family's 1533-position model. The record is from RNAcentral.